AUCGAACGCUGGCGGCAGGCCUAACACAUGCAAGUCGAGCGGCAGCGGGUAGAAAGCUUGCUUUCUAUGCCGGCGAGCGGCGGACGGGUGAGGAAUACCUAGGAAUCUGUCCAUUAGUGGGGAAUAACUAUCCGAAAGGAUAGCUAAUACCGCAUACGCCCUACGGGGGAAAGGGGGGGAUCUUCGGACCUCUCGCUAAUGGGUGAGCCUAGGUCGGAUUAGCUAGUUGGUGGGGUAAAGGCCUACCAAGGCGACGAUCCGUAGUUGGUCUGAGAGGAUGACCAGCCACACUGGGACUGAGACACGGCCCAGACUCCUACGGGAGGCAGCAGUGGGGAAUAUUGCACAACGGGCGAAAGCCUGAUGCAGCCAUGCCGCGUGUGUGAAGAAGGCCUUCGGGUUGUAAAGCACUUUAGGCGGGGAGGAAAGGUUAACGAUUAAUACUCGUUAGCUGUGACGUUACCCGCAGAAUAAGCACCGGCUAACUCCGUGCCAGCCGCCGCAGUAA
This 508-nucleotide ribosomal RNA is filed under the name uncultured bacterium. RNAcentral's name for it is "partial 16S ribosomal RNA". It matches the Rfam family "Bacterial small subunit ribosomal RNA", at positions 30 to 523 of the family's 1533-position model. The record is from RNAcentral.